AAAGGAAUUGACGGGGACCCGCACAAGCAGCGGAGCAUGUGGUUUAAUUCGAAGCAACGCGAAGAACCUUACCAGGGCUUGACAUCCCCCUGACAGUGCCGUAACGGGCAUUUCCUACGGGCAGGGGAGACAGGUGGUGCAUGGUUGUCGUCAGCUCGUGUCGUGAGAUGUUGGGUUAAGUCCCGCAACGAGCGCAACCCUUGUCAUUAGUUGCCAUCAUUAAGUUGGGCACUCUAAUGAGACUGCCGGGGAUAACUCGGAGGAAGGUGGGGAUGACGUCAAAUCAUCAUGCCCCUUAUGUCCUGGGCUACACACGUGCUACAAUGGCCGGUACAAAGAGAAGCGAAACCGCGAGGUGGUGCAAAUCUCAAAAGCCGGCCCCAGUUCGGAUUGCAGGCUGAAACCCGCCUGCAUGAAGCCGGAGUUGCUAGUAAUCGCAAAUCAGCAUGUUGCGGUGAAUGCGUUCCCGGGUCUUGUACACACCGCCCGU
This 490-nucleotide ribosomal RNA is filed under the name uncultured bacterium. RNAcentral describes it as "bacterial SSU rRNA". It matches the Rfam family "Bacterial small subunit ribosomal RNA", at positions 903 to 1397 of the family's 1533-position model. The record is from RNAcentral.